GAUGAACGCUAGCGGCAGGCCUAAUACAUGCAAGACGAACGGUAAGUUGAGUAGCAAUACUUAGCCAAGAGUGUCGUACGGGUGCGUAACACGUAUGCAACCUACCCUAUACAGGAGGAUAGCCUAGGGAAACCUGGAUUAACCCUUCAUAGUAUUAUUGGAUGGCAUCAUUUGAUAAUUAAAACUGAGGUGGUAUAGGAUGGGCAUGCGUCUGAUUAGUUAGUUGGCGGGGUAAUGGCCCACCAAGACGAUGAUCAGUAGGGGUUCUGAGAGGAAGAUCCCCCACACUGGCACUGAGAUACGGGCCAGACUCCUACGGGAGGCAGCAGUAGGGAAUAUUGGUCAAUGGAUGCAAGUCUGAACCAGCCAUGCCGCGUGCAGGAAGAAGGCCCUUCUGGGUUGUAAACUGCUUUUGCCAGGGGGAUAAAAUUUCCAUGCGUGGAAAACUGAAGGUACCUGGUGAAUAAGCCACGGCUAACUACGUGCCAGCAGCCGCGGUAAU
Molecule: ribosomal RNA, 502 nt
Filed under: uncultured bacterium
Lineage: Bacteria
Description: bacterial SSU rRNA
Rfam family: Bacterial small subunit ribosomal RNA
Source: RNAcentral